This 726-nucleotide long non-coding RNA is filed under the name Homo sapiens (human). RNAcentral's name for it is "HSALNT0351448". The record is from RNAcentral. Lineage: Eukaryota; Metazoa; Chordata; Mammalia; Primates; Hominidae.
UUCCAUUGAGGCCGCCCAGGCGGGGCCGCGUGAGACGAUUGGCUAUGGGCUUGUGUCACUCUCGAGAGCUCAAUGGAGUCCCGUUUCAAGACCUGGGUGAAACUCACAGCAAGAAGAAAGAAAAGCACUUUGAAGAAAUGGAGUCAAGGGGGAAAAGGAAGACUCCACCCCAUCUAGACUAGAUGUAUGAAUAACAGAAGAUUGGUAUGUGGACUUGCCUUUCACCGAAAGGGGGGAAAAGUUGUGAAAAUUGACACCAGUGUGAAUUUAUACCGUGGCAACCACGCAAGAGAAAGAGGCAGGAAUUAGCACCAUGGACAGAGACGAGCAGCCCUCAAAUUAAGAUUUGCAAAGCUUGAGACGGUGUUUUCUGUCCCUUUCUGUGAGACACGGAAACUGCGUGUCUUGGGAAUGUUUUAUUCCACGGGACUUUGCGGAAAAGACUGUCCUACUCCACAGAAACUCAUUUAUUUUGAAUUAGGCUGGCAUUUCUUAGGACUCAGCCAUCAUGACAAACUGUCAGGAGACUUAGAGCCCCGAACUCGCUGUGCACCUUCCACUGUCCUGUUUUACAUACACUCCCUUGCCGGCGUGAGCUCGCCUUUCUUCAGAGUGUUCAUGAAAAAUAAAUGCAAAUCCAGGUAGUCUUCGAAAAGUCUGGUAAACCUGCUCCAGAGUUUUUAAUCCUCGAAUAUCCCAGCUGGAAUUGCAGCAAAAAUGCCUGCC